This 301-nucleotide ribosomal RNA is filed under the name uncultured bacterium. RNAcentral describes it as "partial 16S ribosomal RNA". It matches the Rfam family "Bacterial small subunit ribosomal RNA", at positions 509 to 807 of the family's 1533-position model. The record is from RNAcentral.
CAGUCGCCACGGUAAUACGUAGGGUGCAAGCGUUAAUCGGAAUUACUGGGCGUAAAGCGUGCGCAGGCGGUUUGUUAAGACAGAUGUGAAAUCCCCGGGCUCAACCUGGGAACUGCAUUUGUGACUGGCAAGCUAGAGUCUGGCAGAGGGGGGUGGAAUUCCGCGUGUAGCAGUGAAAUGCGUAGAUAUGCGGAGGAACACCGAUGGCGAAGGCAGCCCCCUGGGCCAACACUGACGCUCAUGCACGAAAGCGUGGGGAGCAAACAGGAUUAGAUACCCCGGUAGUCCCUGUCUCUUAUAC